CAAGGUAGAGAGGCCCAGGGUUGAGUCGAUUCCCAGGCAGAAUUAGGGAAGUGUGUCUGGUGAAGGCAUGGAGAAGGGAGGAAACGUGAAGGAGCGGCUGAGUCGGGGGCAGGGUGGGGGGUGCAGAGUUGGAGUGGUAAGCGAGCACAGGUGAGGCAGGGCCUGGUCAGCUCUGAUGAGACCCUUGGCCUAUCGUAGCAGGUGGUGGCAUGAUGGACAUUUUAGAAAGAGCUUCCUGGCUGCUGUGUGGAGCGUGGCUGGACACAGGAUCACACGACCACACUGAAAACAGCCAGCAACAAACUGCCGAGCACUUUACAAAGCGUUUCCUACCAGGAACUCCUGUAGCCACCUGAUCAUCCACUAAGCAUUUACCUGAAAAUGAGCACUUCCUUUAGUCACGAAUGCCAACAACAACCGACAGUGACGUUAGUGGUGCCAAGCAUUCGUCAACAACAAGAUACUGCAGAUGCAUUCAUAACACCACUGUGGCAGCAUCUGGAAACAUCACUUCUGCUCAUCACAAACCCAGAGUUACAGCUGUUAGACCAGCCAGUUGGACACUACUAUCUAAAGUGUUAACAAAGGAGCACAUAUAUUUCAACAUCAUAAAUUUUUAAAGUAUCUCAUAACUGAAUCUGAAAAGAACUGGUUUCCUUUGUAACCCUACAUAUUUUGUUUUAUAUAAGGAAAAGCAUUAUUCUGAGAAGGGGUCCCUAGGCUUCACCCGACGGCCAAAGUGCUCACAAGGAGUUCGAUUUCUACUCCAGGAGGGACGGAGAACUGCUGACGUGCUUUCCACAGGUUUCAUGGGCUGCAGCCUCCGGGUUGCAAAGUCACCCUGCCUGUGGGAGAAGACUGUGCUCGUACAAGGUGGUGCCAAAGGCAAGUGAGGGCAUGGCCUACUCCGACCUCUGUCCUGGGCAAUCUGGAGGGGGCAGUGCCCCUGGGGCCUCGAGGGCUCUUCCCAAGCCUCUCCCACCCACCCACCACACCACCUCAUGCUGCCCUCUUGACCCAGAGGAGCCCUGUCACUUGGCCCAAGGCCCACCCCAGGGCAUCCUCCCAAAGAGCUUCAGGAAGUGAGCACGCGUGUCCACACGAAAAAUAAAUGCGGCCUUU
This is a long non-coding RNA of Leopardus geoffroyi (Geoffroy's cat), 1122 nucleotides long. RefSeq lists it as uncharacterized. Lineage: Eukaryota; Metazoa; Chordata; Mammalia; Carnivora; Felidae. The record is from RefSeq and is a predicted model, not a curated record. The transcript is spliced from 3 exons.